GUGCUCGCUUCCGCGGCACAUAUACUAAAACUGGACCGACACAGAGAAGAUUAGCAUGGCCCUGCACAAGGAGUGCACGCAAAUUCCUGGAACGUUCCAUAUUUUU
Small nuclear RNA from Echinops telfairi (small Madagascar hedgehog), 106 nucleotides. The record is from Ensembl. Lineage: Eukaryota; Metazoa; Chordata; Mammalia; Afrosoricida; Tenrecidae.